GAAAGUAAAAAAGGGCGCAUGGCGGAUGCCUUGGCUCUCGGAGGCGAUGAAGGACGUGAUAAGCUGCGAUAAGCUUUGGGGAGGUGCAAAUGACCUUUGAUCCAGAGAUUUCCGAAUGGGACAACCCAAUAUCUUGAAGAGGUAUUAUCCAACGUUGUUGGAGGCUAACGCAGGGAACUGAAACAUCUUAGUACCUGCAGGAAAAGAAAAUAAACAAUGAUUCCCCCAGUAGUGGCGAGCGAACGGGGAACAGCCCAAACCAUCCAUGUUACGGCAUGGGUGGGGUUGUAGGACUACGCCGUUGCAUGAAGACAUCAGAGAAGAACUUUCUGGAAAGAAAGACCAUAGAGCAUGACAGUUGCGUAUUCGAAUGUUGUCGAAGCAUAGUAGUAUCCUGAGUAGCGCGGAGCACGAGGAAUUCUGCGUGAAUCUGCCGGGACCAUCCGGUAAGGCUAAAUACUCCCGAGAGACCGAUAGCGAACCAGUACCGUGAGGGAAAGGUGAAAAGCACUUCGAACAGAAGAGUGAAAUAGUUCCUGAAACCGUGCGCCUACAAGCGGUCGGAGCUCGUUAAUGAGUGACGGCGUGCCUUUUGCAUAAUGAACCUACGAGUUGCCUUUGCCGGCAAGGUUAAGUGUGACGACACACGUAUCCGAAGCGAAAGCGAGUCUGAACAGGGCGUAUAGUCGGCAGUGGCAGACGCGAAACCAAGUGAUCUACCCUUGGCCAGGUUGAAGGCUGGGUAACACCAGCUGGAGGACCGCACCAAUAAGCGUUGAAAAGCUUCUGGAUGAGCUGAGGGUAGGGGUGAAAGGCUAAUCAAACUUGGAGAUAGCUCGUACUCCCCGAAAUGCAUUUAGGUGCAGCCUUGCGGGUUACUGAUGUGAGGUAGAGCGACUGAUUGGAUGCGAGGGCUUCACCGCCUAUCAAGUCCUGACAAACUCCGAAUGCGCAUCAGUUCUACCGCAGGAGUGAGGGCAUGGGUGCUAAGGUCCGUGCCCGAGAGGAGAAGAAUCCGGACCACCGGCUAAGGUCCCGAAAUGACAGCUAAGUUAAACUAACGAAGUCUGAUUGCUAAGACAGCUAGGAUGUUGGCUUGGAAGCAGCCAUUCAUUUAAAGAGUGCGUAACAGCUCACUAGUCGAGGAGUCGGGCGUGGAUAAUAAUCGGGUAUCAAGUUGUCUACCGAAGCAGUGGGAUCAUUAAUAUGAUCGGUAGGGGAGCAUUCCAGUCAGCGUCGAAGGCGUACCGUGAGGUAUUCUGGAGCGUCUGGAAAAGCAAAUGUAGGUAUAAGUAACGAUAAAGGGGGCGGGAAACCCCCUCGCCGAAAGACUAAGGUUUCCUGAUCAACGCUAAUCGGAUCAGGGUCAGUCGGGUCCUAAGGCUCAGCCGAACGGCGAUGCCGAUGGCAGAAACGGUUAAUAUUCCGUUACUACCUUCAGGAGUGACGUGGAGACGCAGUAGUGACAGUGCCGCCAUCUGACGGAAUAGAUGGUUGAAGGGUGUAGGAGUCGAUCAUGGCAGGCAAAUCCACCAUGAGAUCCGAACCUGACAGUAUGCCGCGUCCUUCGGGACAAGGCAAUAGUGCGCGUAAGCAUGCUGCCGAGAAAAUCCGCUAAACUUAAUCCUGCAGGUACCCGUACCGCAAACGGACACACGUAGUCGGGAUGAAUAUUCUAAGGCGCUUGAGUGAUUCACGGUUAAGGAACUAGGCAAACUGACCCUGUAACUUCGGGAUAAAGGGUCCCUACCCUUUUAUGGGAGGGCGCAGAGAAUCGGUCCAGGCAACUGUUUAACAAAAACACAGGGCUGUGCCAAAUCGAAAGAUCCAGUAUACAGCCUGACACCUGCCCGGUGCUGGAAGGUUAAGAGGAGAUGUCAUCGAUAAGAGAAGCGUUGAAUUGAAGCCCCAGUAAACGGCGGCCGUAACUAUAACGGUCCUAAGGUAGCGAAAUUCCUUGUCGGGUAAGUUC
Molecule: ribosomal RNA, 1972 nt
Filed under: human gut metagenome
Description: bacterial LSU rRNA
Rfam family: Bacterial large subunit ribosomal RNA
Source: RNAcentral